This 555-nucleotide ribosomal RNA is filed under the name uncultured Halorubrum sp. RNAcentral's name for it is "bacterial SSU rRNA". It matches the Rfam family "Archaeal small subunit ribosomal RNA", at positions 325 to 879 of the family's 1478-position model. Lineage: Archaea; Methanobacteriati; Methanobacteriota; Halobacteria; Halobacteriales; Haloferacaceae. The record is from RNAcentral.
ACGGGGAGCAGCAGGCGCGAAACCUUUACACUGCACGCCAGUGCGAUAAGGGAACCCCGAGUGAAAGGGCAUAUCGCCCUUUCUUUUCUGAACCGUAGGGAGGUUCAGGAACAAGAGCUGGGCAAGACCGGUGCCAGCCGCCGCGGUAAUACCGGCAGCCCGAGUGAUGGCCGAUAUUAUUGGGCCUAAAGCGUCCGUAGCUGGCCGCGCAAGUCCAUCGGGAAAUCCACCUGCUCAACAGGUGGGCGCCCGGUAGAAACUGCGUGGCUUGGGACCGGAAGGCGCGACGGGUACGUCCGGGGUAGGAGUGAAAUCCCGUAAUCCUGGACGGACCGCCGAUGGCGAAAGCACGUCGCGAGAACGGAUCCGACAGUGAGGGACGAAAGCCAGGGUCUCGAACCGGAUUAGAUACCCGGGUAGUCCUAGCUGUAAACGAUGCCCGCUAGGUGUGGCGCAGGCUACGAGCCUGCGCUGUGCCGUAGGGAAGCCGAGAAGCGGGCCGCCUGGGAAGUACGUCUGCAAGGAUGAAACUUAAAGGAAUUGGCGGGGGAGCAC